Molecule: unclassified non-coding RNA, 101 nt
Organism: Cercocebus atys (sooty mangabey)
Lineage: Eukaryota; Metazoa; Chordata; Mammalia; Primates; Cercopithecidae
Rfam family: Y RNA
About the family: Y RNAs are components of the Ro ribonucleoprotein particle (Ro RNP), in association with Ro60 and La proteins.
Source: Ensembl
GGCUGGUCUGAGGGCAGUGGUGUUUACAACUGUUGAUCAUACUCAGUUACAGAUUUCUUUGUUCCUGCUCCACACCUACUGCUUCAUUUGAUUAGUCUUUU